Molecule: non-coding RNA, 30 nt
Filed under: Rattus norvegicus (Norway rat)
Lineage: Eukaryota; Metazoa; Chordata; Mammalia; Rodentia; Muridae
Source: RNAcentral
CGCUAGGUCUUGAUACUCCUGAGGGGUCUU